RNAcentral lists this RNase P RNA (407 nucleotides) under Chloroflexota bacterium. RNAcentral describes it as "Chloroflexi bacterium (anaerobic digester metagenome) RNase P RNA component class A". It matches the Rfam family "Bacterial RNase P class A". From Rfam's summary of the family: Ribonuclease P (RNase P) is a ubiquitous endoribonuclease, found in archaea, bacteria and eukarya as well as chloroplasts and mitochondria. Its best characterised activity is the generation of mature 5'-ends of tRNAs by cleaving the 5'-leader elements of precursor-tRNAs. The record is from RNAcentral. Lineage: Bacteria; Bacillati; Chloroflexota.
CGAGUGAGCCAGGCGACCGCGGAGGGCCGGUAACGGGCCUUCGAGGAAAGUCCGAACUCCCCAGAGCACGAUGCUGGAUAACGUCCAGGCGGGGUGACCCGACGGCACAGUGCAACAGAGAGGAGAUUGCCGCCUGCAGGCAGGGCCCUGGUUCUGCGGCCGGCGGUGAGGGUGAAACGGUGGUGUAAGGGACCACCGGCGGCCCGGGCGACCGGGUCGGCCAGGCAAACCCCAUCGGGAGCAAGACCAAGCAAGGGGCGUCCCGAGCAUGCUCGGGACAGAGGCUGCUCGUCUCAGGCCCCGGGUAGGUCGCACGAGGCGCCGAGCAAUCGGCGUCCCAGAUAGAUGGUCGCCAGCGCCGUCGACGUGCGGCGCGACAGAAUUCGGCUUAUCGGCUCACUCGCCUC